Molecule: ribosomal RNA, 301 nt
Filed under: uncultured bacterium
Lineage: Bacteria
Description: partial 16S ribosomal RNA
Rfam family: Bacterial small subunit ribosomal RNA
Source: RNAcentral
CAGUAGCCACGGUAAUACGUAGGGUGCGAGCGUUAAUCGGAAUUACUGGGCGUAAAGCGGGCGCAGACGGUUACUUAAGCAGGAUGUGAAAUCCCCGGGCUCAACCUGGGAACUGCGUUCUGAACUGGGUGACUAGAGUGUGUCAGAGGGAGGUAGAAUUCCACGUGUAGCAGUGAAAUGCGUAGAGAUGUGGAGGAAUACCGAUGGCGAAGGCAGCCUCCUGGGAUAACACUGACGUUCAUGCCCGAAAGCGUGGGUAGCAAACAGGAUUAGAGACCCCUGUAGUCCCUGUCUCUUAUAC